This 253-nucleotide ribosomal RNA is filed under the name uncultured bacterium. Its description in RNAcentral is "partial 16S ribosomal RNA". It matches the Rfam family "Bacterial small subunit ribosomal RNA", at positions 524 to 776 of the family's 1533-position model. The record is from RNAcentral.
UACGUAGGGGGCAAGCGUUGUCCGGAAUCAUUGGGCGUAAAGAGCGUGUAGGCGGCUUGGUAAGUCCGCUGUGAAAGUCCAGGGCUCAACCCUGGAAUGCCGGUGGAUACUGUCGAGCUCGAGUCCGGAAGAGGCGAGUGGAAUUCCUGGUGUAGCGGUGAAAUGCGCAGAUAUCAGGAGGAACACCGAUGGCGAAGGCAGCUCGCUGGGACGUGACUGACGCUGAGACGCGAAAGCGUGGGGAGCAAACAGG